GACGAACCGUCCAAACGUUAUCCGGAAUUACUGGGCUUAAAGGGUGCGUAGGCGGCGCGGAAAGUUGGGUGUGAAAUCCCUCGGCUCAACCGAGGAACUGCGCCCAAUACUACCGUGCUUGAGGGAGAUAGAGGUGAGCGGAACUUAGGGUGGAGCGGUGAAAUGCGUUGAUAUCCUAAGGAACACCGGUGGCGAAAGCGGCUCACUGGAUCUCUUCUUACGCUGAGGCACGAAAGCUAGGGUAGCGAACGGG
RNAcentral lists this ribosomal RNA (253 nucleotides) under uncultured bacterium. Its description in RNAcentral is "partial 16S ribosomal RNA". It matches the Rfam family "Bacterial small subunit ribosomal RNA", at positions 524 to 776 of the family's 1533-position model. The record is from RNAcentral.